AUUGAACGCUGGCGGAAUGCUUUACACAUGCAAGUCGAGCGGCAGCGCGGGGCAACCUGGCGGCGAGCGGCGAACGGGUGAGUAAUGCAUCGGAACAUGUCCAUGUCGUGGGGGAUAGCCCGGCGAAAGCCGGAUUAAUACCGCAUACGCCCGAGAGGGGAAAGUGGGGGACUCGCAAGGGCCUCACGCGAUUGGGUUGGCCGAUGUCCGAUUAGCUAGUUGGCGGGGUAAGAGCCCACCAAGGCGAUGAUCGGUAGCUGGUCUGAGAGGAUGAUCAGCCACACUGGGACUGAGACACGGCCCAGACUCCUACGGGAGGCAGCAGU
This 326-nucleotide ribosomal RNA is filed under the name uncultured bacterium. Its description in RNAcentral is "bacterial SSU rRNA". It matches the Rfam family "Bacterial small subunit ribosomal RNA", at positions 28 to 355 of the family's 1533-position model. The record is from RNAcentral.